UAAAACUUUUGCUGAUAGAGGUAGCCCAGUUAUUGGCUUAUUCCUGCCCAGUUACAGCUUUAUCGUGAUUAGUGGUAUUUUUCUUCACCCUGUUCUGGUCUGAGGGAAGUGGAAGUCUCUUAUAAUUGGAGAGAUGGCAGAGGAAGGCCUAAAGAAUUUGUGUAAAACACCACCUGUGUGUGUGCAUCUAUACCUUCCGGAAAGUAGGUGGCCCCAUAGACCAGCUGGAGCAUAUACAGGCUAAGAGUGCUAAACUAGAAGCCCCUGGGGCCAAUUCAACAGUGUGGGUGGGGUUUGGCAUUGCCCAGUCACUGGGGCAGAGAGGCUCAGGGCUUGGAGCUCACGCUGCAAAAAUUAUGUGUUGGACAGAGCUUUACAAUGGUUCCUGCAUGCUUAUGAGCCCUCUGAAGUUGAUCCUGGGCAGAAAGAAGCCUCAGGCAAAUGAGACCUGAACAUUCCUUUCCCACUGUGGGUGGGUUACAAUUUGAAGGAAGCCGUUCACCCAGCCAUCUAAUUUCCCAGAGAUCUUGAUUGCGAAGGACCGUUUGCAGAUCCCAUCGGAGGGGCCCAGUUUGAAUUAUAUCCAGGAGAUCCCCUGGAAUAUGAAAGAAGUCAAUUAAAGAGAUGUCAACUGGAAAGAUUCAGAAGAUGGUGAAUAACUCCAAGGGUCUACCAGAUGAUCGGGGGCAGCAGCAGCGGCUCUGCCUGCCCAUGGGCUCUGUCCCCAUGCCAGCGGGGGCAGCAGAAGCGGCGGCAGCAGAAGCUCUGACUGCCCAUGGGUCCUGUCUCCAUGCUAUUCUAUACUAUUCUCUAAAUAAAAGAGCACUACUGCCAAAUCUUAAGAGUCUAAAGAAAUCUUUCUUUCGACGACUCGGCUCACGGACCCCGCAUCACUUAUCAAUGGCAACAGCCCUGAACACAUUUCACAAUGGAUGUCAUGGAGGAAUGGUGGAAGCAAGGCCAUUGCUUAAAAGCCAGAAGCGGGCAGUGGACCAAGUCAGCAACUGGUGGAAAAGAAAACAAUAUUGUCAUCUUGGUCCAUGAGUCACCUGGUGGGAAGCGGUGUUCUUGACCAGUGGUUCCCAAAAUGGGUUGUAUAUACCCAAAGGGUGCUCAUAAUCAUCCAUUUCAAUAUGGAUAGAAAACAUCAGGGCUCUAUUUCUAUAUUUUAUAACAACAACAA
RNAcentral lists this long non-coding RNA (1183 nucleotides) under Equus caballus (horse). RNAcentral's name for it is "lncRNA (ENSECAG00000057806.1)". The record is from RNAcentral. Lineage: Eukaryota; Metazoa; Chordata; Mammalia; Perissodactyla; Equidae.